UACGUAGGGGGCAAGCGUUAUCCGGAUUUACUGGGAGUAAAGGGAGCGUAGGUGGUUCGGUAAGUCAGAUGUGAAAGCCCGGGGCUCAACACCGGGACUGCAUUUGAAACUAACGAACUAGAGUGCAGGAGAGGUAAGUGGAAUUCCUAGUGUAGCGGUGAAAUGCGUAGAUAUUAGGAGGAACACCAGUGGCGAAGGCGGCUUACUGGACUGCAACUGACACUGAGGCUCGAAAGCGUGGGGAGCAAACAGG
Molecule: ribosomal RNA, 253 nt
Filed under: uncultured bacterium
Lineage: Bacteria
Description: partial 16S ribosomal RNA
Rfam family: Bacterial small subunit ribosomal RNA
Source: RNAcentral